CUGCGGAAGGAUCAUUAUCGUACAACUGAGGUGCAAGGGCUGUCGCUGACUUGAAAAGGUUGUGCACGCCCAAGCGCUCUCACACAUCCAUCUCACCCCUAUGUGCACCACCGCGUGGGUCCCCCUUUUGGCUUGCCCAAAAGGGUGGGCUUGCGUUUUCACACAAACUUGAUGUAGUGUAGAAUGUCUUUAUUUUUGCGGUCACACGCAAUCAAUACAACUUUCAACAACGGAUCUCUUGGCUCUCGCAUCGAUGAAGAACGCAGCGAAAUGCGAUACGUAAUGUGAAUWGCAGAAUUCAGUGAAUCAUCGAAUCUUUGAACGCACCUUGCGCCCCUUGGCAUUCCGAGGGGCACACCCGUUUGAGUGUCGUGAAAUUCUCAAAAACCUUUCUUUGGUCUUUCGAUCGGGGAAAGGAUUUUGGACUUGGAGGCCUUUUGCUGGUUUCACCUUGAAGCGAGCUCCUCCUAAAUGAAUUAGUGGGGUCUGCCUUGCCGUUCCUCGACGUGAUAAGAUGUUUCUACGUCUUGGGUUUGGCACUGUCAUUUGGACACCUGCUUCCAACCGUCUCAUCGACAAUGAUGGCGUUCCGGUCACCACCGUUCUAUCGGUGGGAGGCUUGACCCACAGAAAAAAACCUUGACCUCAAAUCGGGUGAGACUACCCGCUGAACUUAAGCAUAUCAAUAAGCGGA
This 694-nucleotide small RNA is filed under the name uncultured fungus. RNAcentral describes it as "eukaryotic LSU rRNA". The stretch from base 219 to 372 matches the Rfam family "5.8S ribosomal RNA". Lineage: Eukaryota; Fungi. The record is from RNAcentral.